ACUCCCAGAGUUCCUCAUUCAGCAAAGCAGGAAGUCAAAGCAGGCUGUAAUCAGUAGCUGAAGUAAGCAUUGCGUUGCCAGCCCGAAAGAAGCAGUAUGCAGUAAUUAUAGGACUGUUGCUGAAGUCCUAGGCUGCAUUAACAGAAGAACAGUAUCAAGGUCAAUUGAAGUGUUAGUACUGCUUUAUAUUCUAGAGAAGUGGUAUGUCAUAUCUCUCAGCUGCUCUGCAAAUAAUGGAACUAUUCAAACUGACAUUAUUGAUAAUAUAUUGGUAUGAAUCACAUACUGUGGAGAAUGGAUAUUGCCUUUACAGACUUUCACAAAUAUGCCUACCUUCUAGGAGCUAUUAAUGCUCCAAGCGGAAGAGAAGAAAUAUAGGAGUGACCUGCAUAGAAUUAUUAAUUUAAAUUGCAUUUAUGGACUGCAACUCAGAGUUUUCCUGAAACCAACAUCAUCCAGAGGAUGUAGGUACUGCAGCUCCCUCAAUUUCCUGUCAGUUUGGCCAAAGGGGCCCAACAGGAGCAUCCUAGAUAACAAAACGCUGA
This is a long non-coding RNA of Ahaetulla prasina, 545 nucleotides long. RefSeq lists it as uncharacterized. The transcript is spliced from 3 exons. NCBI's taxonomy places the organism in Eukaryota, Metazoa, Chordata, Lepidosauria, Squamata, Colubridae. The record is from RefSeq and is a predicted model, not a curated record.